Molecule: ribosomal RNA, 380 nt
Filed under: uncultured eukaryote
Lineage: Eukaryota
Description: partial 18S ribosomal RNA
Rfam family: Eukaryotic small subunit ribosomal RNA
Source: RNAcentral
CAAUAGCGUAUAUUAAAGUUGUUGCAGUUAGAACGCUCGUAGUCGGAUUUCGGGGCGGGCCGACCGGUCUGCCGAUGGGUACGCACUGGUCGGCGCGUCCUUCCUUCCGGAGACCGUGCCUACUCUUAACUGAGCGGGGGCGGGAGACGGAUCGUUUACUUUGAAAAAAUCAGAGUGUUUCAAGCAGGCAGCUCGCUCUUGCAUGGAUUAGCAUGGGAUAAUGAAAUAGGACUUUGGUGCUAUUUUGUUGGUUUCGAACACCGAAGUAAUGAUUAAAAGGGACAGUCAGGGGCACUCGUAUUCCGCAGAGGGAGGUGAAAUUCUCAGACCCGCGGAAGACGAACCACUGCGAAAGCAUUUGCCAGGGAUGUUUUCACUGA